This is a non-coding RNA of Zootermopsis nevadensis, 4250 nucleotides long. NCBI's taxonomy places the organism in Eukaryota, Metazoa, Arthropoda, Insecta, Blattodea, Termopsidae. The record is from RefSeq and is a predicted model, not a curated record.
GUUCUAAAUAGACAGCAGAUGGGGAAACACAAGAAAAGUAACAAGCAAGUGAAGAAUGUGUUUAAGGUGGCAGGUGCAAGGAGUUUGAAAUUGAAAAAUAAAGCAAAAUCAGUCACAGUACAACUUAAGAAGUUGAAUGAAGUUACUCGCAAAAAGACAGCAGAAGUUGAUGGACAAUUGACAACUGAAGUGCAGUCUAAACUACUUCAGAAACAAGAAGUGCAGGAAAUUGUUAAUAAGAAAGUUGAUGUGAGAGAGGAACAGAAGAAAUUUCAAGACAUUGAGAAGGAUUCAUCAGAAGCUUUGAACAAGCUCUGUGACAUGCAAGUGAACUGACUUAUAUCAGGCAGUUGAAGUUAGUUUUAUUUUAAAUUGAUGACAGGAGGUAUAUAUUAAGUCUUGUACGUGAAUUGCAAUUUUCUUUGCUGUGUAACAUUUAAGGAAAGAAGAGAUAUUUUGAACGUAAACUGUAAGGAAUAAUUCAUGAGGAAAGUAAAUUUCUAGAUAAGGAUAUCUGAAUGAGAAUCAGUUUAAUUUAGGGACACUGAGUACAUUGGUGGUAAUUUUUAAUAUUAUACAAAAUGGCUUCUUACACUGCUGGCAUUAUUGUAAUUGGGGAUGAAAUAUUAAAAGGCCAAGUUGUUGAUACAAAUUCCAAUUUCUUAUGUAAAAGUCUCCAUUCACUGGGUAUAACGGUGUGUAAAAUAUCAGUUGUGGGUGAUAAUGUUAAUGAGAUAGCAUCUGAGGUGGCAAGAUUUUCAGAGAAAUAUAGCAAGGUAUUUACAAGUGGUGGUGUUGGUCCAACACAUGAUGAUGUUACAUAUCUUGGUGUUGCUCGUGCUUUUGGACGGCAUGUUGAAGUGAACAAGGAGUUGGCUAAAAUAUUAUUGGAUUCAAAUUUUGUGAGUGACAUCAGUGAUGUUGAUGCUAAUCCUGCUUUGAAGAUUGCUCAGGUUCCCCAGCUAUCAAGUCUGAUUUAUUUGAAGCCUGUAGGUUACUGUCAUGACCCAUCAUUGUUAUAUUCCAGUACUUUUCCAGUAGUUAAAGUUGCUAAUGUGUACAUUUUUCCUGGAAUACCAAAAUAUUUUGAAUAUGCUGUUACCAACUUGGAGCACCUGUUCAAGAACCCUGACGGUGACAGAUUUUACACACGGGAACUGUACCUCAGGAGCGAAGAGUUAGAUAUUGUUCCUGUGCUUAAUCACACUGUUGACAAAUUUAAAGGCUCAGUUGUAUUUGGUAGUUACCCACAGCUUGGUAAUGACAUUUACAUGACAAAGGUGACACUUGAGUCAAUUUCGAGCCAGCAGUUGGAAGAAGCAGAAUCCUAUCUUUGCAUGAAGCUGCCUGCUGGAACUGUCGUUGAUCCCCUGGAGGAAAGUGUGUACUGGAUGGUGGAAGAGGCCCCCAAAAGAGGGCUGUCUGCAGCAGUCACUGAGUCUGUGAAGAUUCUCGAGAAAUGCUUUGAUAAGUUCAGCCCUUCAGAGAUUUUCCUGAGCUUUAAUGGUGGGAAGGAUUGCACAGUCCUGCUACAUCUUGCCACAGCUGUGCUGCGCAGAAAGUUUCCAUCCCUGAAGAAACCACUACAGGCUGUGUACAUACAGCCACAGGAUCCAUUUCCUCAAGUUGAAGAAUUUGUUGUUGAGUCAGUGAAAAGAUAUAACCUAGAACUGAAGACAGUUCCUGGUCCAAUCACACAUGCUCUUGAGGUUGUAUUAGCGGAGAAACCUGAGCUGAAGGCAGUGCUUAUGGGCACAAGAAGAACAGAUCCCUACUCUGCGAUGAUGAAUUCUUUUCAGAUGACAGACUCAGGCUGGCCUCAAAUUAUGCGUGUGAGCCCAUUGCUGAACUGGAGUUACCAAAGUGUGUGGACAUUCCUCCGGGACCUGUCAGUACCCUACUGUAGUCUCUAUGAUGAGGGAUACACUUCACUGGGUAGCAGCCGUAACACAGCCCCCAACCCUGCACUGAGUUAUGUUGACAGUAAUGGGACUGUCCAUUACUGCCCUGCCUACAUGCUUCAGGAUGGUGCGAGUGAAAGAAAUGGGAGACACUGAAAGAUCAUAUCACCAUCUGCUAUAGACAGACUCCCACACAAGUUGUGGUUAACACAGAAUUUUAGUGAGAAAAAAUCUUUGUAUAAAGAAAAGGAGGUGUGAGAAGAGUGAAAAAUUGUUUGAGGACAUGAGCUGAAUUGAAUUGAAUCGUGUCCAGGAGUUACCAGUUAUAAUUAUGGAUCUGCAUACUGUUUCAUCAGCUGAAGAACUAGAGCAACUUGUGGCCAUCGCUUUUGGUCCAGAGGGUCGAGCAGUGAUGGUGCAGCAACCUACUGGUCAGUUUAACAUUACUCGUAGCGGCUACAGUAUUUUAAUGUCUGUCUACCCAGAGCCUGACCCCAAGAAGCCAGCACAACGUAUCCUCAUUGAUUCUGCCAGAAGAGUGCUUGAAUCCCUGGGAGAUGGUGUGAAAAGUUUUAUAAUAAUGACAUCAUCACUUCUGAAGUAUUGUGAAUCCCUUGACAAUCCAGUACGUGUUGCAAGACAGGUAGGAGCACUGGGAAUGCAGUUAAAUGUAUUUCAUUCCCAAAGAGCAGAACUUCCUGUGGUUACUGACAGUGUUCUGAAAGAGAGAAUUGUUUGCUUUGAAACAGUUGUUCAUACUUUCUUUUCUACUCGAUUCCCAGCCCCUGUUAGCAAUACCCUUUCCUUGUUAUUGUGUCAGUGGAUUCUUUCUAACAUGGGCAAUACUCUGGAGUUGAAAAUGCAGUCUUAUUCGCAGCACACACUGCAGAAUUUACUAAAAGAUUUUUCAAUGCUCUGUCAGUACAAGAGUGGGGGAUCUAGACCAGUUUCCGAGUCUUGCAUCCAACAAGGCUACAGAGUGUACCAACCUGCUGUUAAUCUGACAGUGUCUGGUCCAUGCGCUAUACAGUUCUUAAUGCUUGGUGAUAGUGACUGUCCAGAUAGCGGUUGUUUUGAUGAUAUUGACAUUCAGAGUGAAGUAGAGAGAUUUCUUCUUAGUCUUGAGAGACAAGGCUGCGAAGAUGAAAAAAUUUUACUUGUGACAUCGGCAGUAUUGUCUGAUCUAACAUUGUUUCGUUUAAGACGUUUAAACAUUGCGAUUCUACAAGGAGUCCUACCAGAAGAAGUCAGUUACAUAUAUUCAGCUUUAUUUCAUUUCCAGCAGGGUGAUUUAAAAAGAACAAUAAUCAAUGUAAAACCUGAAGUGGACUGUACAUGGUUGGAGAUCCCAAAUAUUUAUCAACUUUUCCUGCAUGCACCAACAUUGGAACUGCGUGCUGAAUAUGCCUGCUCCUGUCAGAGUGCCAUCAGACUUUGCAUUGCUGCUGCUUCUCAUGCAGUGAUGACUGAUUUCAGGCCCUGUGUAAUGAGAGCUGGAGGAUGUUUUGAAAGAAUCCUUGAAAUGCAUCUUGCAUUCAAAUGUGGAAAGAGCCUGCAUGAUCCUCUGGCAUGCAGGGAGGCAAAUCGUGUGGAAUUAUUAGAAUGGCAUAAACAGUACCAAGUACUUUCUGACAAGAAUUCACAAAGUAUUGCCACUGGAAGUGACACUUGCAGAAAGAAAAGUGGGAGUCAGGUAAAACAUUUUUGUGAGGUUGCUGUUAACAGUAUUGUCUGUUGUACCACAGAUCACGUUCUGUGCAGUCUAAGUGAAGCCUGCGUUGGGCUCGAUGAAGAUGUGGUAGGGGCGAUCGUGAAAGCUUUACUUGCAAUACGGAGAAGAUUACCUCAUCCUGACAAGAUGACACAGAGUUCUGCUUUGGAACCUGUGGGCAUGAAACUUUGUAUUUUGCAACAUUCACUGUGUACUGCUGCUAGUCUGCUUAAAGUGUGUGGCAUCUUACAGACCAGGAAAAAGUUGCCACCAUAGUGGUGGACAAAGUGGCACCAGAACAGAUUUUCUCUUACUACCUAUAUAUAUCUUUGUCAGUUGUUACCUCACCAGGGUUCCUUACUUGUUAAUCACCACUCCUGAGCUGUGCGACAGACCCAACAUGCCAGUAUGUUAUCACAGUCCUCAGUAAAGUUCUGCACAAGUCUCGGCCUGGUCCUCGUAGCACAGAUAAUGUUUGGGUCUGGGCAAAAUUUGAGCCUGGUUCAGACAAUAGCAAUCAAACAUUAUAUAGAAAACUUUCAGCAGCCAUUCUUUAUUUUGCAAAGAGGAAUUCUAAAAUUUUGCCCUGUGCAGACCUCUAGUCCUCUGUUGGGACUCACUGCAGACCUGAUAUUUGC